This 460-nucleotide ribosomal RNA is filed under the name uncultured bacterium. RNAcentral's name for it is "partial 16S ribosomal RNA". It matches the Rfam family "Bacterial small subunit ribosomal RNA", at positions 338 to 795 of the family's 1533-position model. The record is from RNAcentral.
CCUACGGGUGGCAGCAGUGAGGAAUAUUGGUCAAUGGACGAGAGUCUGAACCAGCCAAGUAGCGUGAAGGAUGACUGCCCUAUGGGUUGUAAACUUCUUUUAUAUGGGAAUAAAAUGUUCCACGUGUGGGAUUUUGUAUGUACCAUAUGAAUAAGGAUCGGCUAACGCCGUGCCAGCAGCCGCGGUAAUACGGAGGAUCCGAGCGUUAUCCGGAUUUAUUGGGUUUAAAGGGAGCGUAGGUGGAUUGUUAAGUCAGUUGUGAAAGUUUGCGGCUCAACCGUAAAAUUGCAGUUGAAACUGGCAGUCUUGAGUACAGUAGAGGUGGGCGGAAUUCGUGGUGUAGCGGUGAAAUGCUUAGAUAUCACGAAGAACUCCGAUUGCGAAGACAGUUCACUGGACUGCAACUGACACUGAGGCUCGAAAGUGUGGGUAUCAAACAGGAUUAGAUACCCGGGUAGUC